RNAcentral lists this transfer RNA (74 nucleotides) under Bdellovibrionales bacterium. RNAcentral describes it as "tRNA-Pro". It matches the Rfam family "tRNA". Rfam says of the family: Transfer RNA (tRNA) molecules are approximately 80 nucleotides in length. Their secondary structure includes four short double-helical elements and three loops (D, anti-codon, and T loops). Further hydrogen bonds mediate the characteristic L-shaped molecular structure. tRNAs have two regions of fundamental functional importance: the anti-codon, which is responsible for specific mRNA codon recognition, and the 3' end, to which the tRNAs corresponding amino acid is attached (by aminoacyl-tRNA synthetases). tRNAs cope with the degeneracy of the genetic code in two manners: having more than one tRNA (with a specific anti-codon) for a particular amino acid; and 'wobble' base-pairing, i.e. permitting non-standard base-pairing at the 3rd anti-codon position. Lineage: Bacteria; Pseudomonadati; Bdellovibrionota; Bdellovibrionia; Bdellovibrionales. The record is from RNAcentral.
CGGGGCGUGGCGCAGCCUGGUAGCGCGCUCGUCUGGGGGGCGAGCGGUCGGAGGUUCAAAUCCUCUCGCCCCGA